Molecule: long non-coding RNA, 563 nt
Filed under: Physcomitrium patens
Lineage: Eukaryota; Viridiplantae; Streptophyta; Bryopsida; Funariales; Funariaceae
Description: long non-coding RNA (PPAT_LNC014652)
Source: RNAcentral
UAUUUAUUUAUUAUUAUUAUUAUUAUAUAUGUUAUUUUCAUUAAUUAUUUAAGUUGUUGAGCAAUCAACUUUCUUCAUCAAAGAAAUGACCAUACUAAAUAUUGAUCACAACACCACCAUUGUUUAUUUUCACACCAAAAAUAUAUACAAGAAUCCUUUCAAACUCACUAUCUAACCACUAUUAGAAAUCAAAUAUCUUCUACCGACAACAUUACAAAUCACCCCCGAUCUACUAUAGUUAUCAACUCCCAAGCCAUGUCCUGUUCUUAUUACUAUCAGAUUGUCUCUAUGUCCCUGCAAUACCACUGUUCUAAUUUCUUUUAAACAAAAUGCCUUCACUUCACUAGUUCCUUUGAAUAGCCAUGCAUCUUAGCUCUGUCAACACUAACUCAACAUAGCACUAAUGUCGCUUUUCUUUUAAUCAACUUGAGCUCCUCUAAAAUUGGCACCCCUUCUUCUUCCUAAACAACAAUCUUCUGUAUUGAUCUGGAUCUACUUCUUUGCCUACAACCAAUAACUUCUUUUCGCUAUAACCUUCACUUUUUUUUAUAAGAUACUCCCAC